RNAcentral lists this transfer RNA (83 nucleotides) under Rhizopogon vesiculosus. It matches the Rfam family "tRNA". Rfam says of the family: Transfer RNA (tRNA) molecules are approximately 80 nucleotides in length. Their secondary structure includes four short double-helical elements and three loops (D, anti-codon, and T loops). Lineage: Eukaryota; Fungi; Basidiomycota; Agaricomycetes; Boletales; Rhizopogonaceae. The record is from Rfam by way of RNAcentral.
GGCGAUAUAGUGUAGUGGUUAUCACUCGGGAUUCUGAUUCUUUAUGACUUCCCGAAACCCAGGUUCGAGCCCUGGUAUCGCCU